GCAUCUGUGGUUGAGUGGUAGAAUUCUCGCCUGCCACGCGGGAGGCCCGGGUUCGAGUCCCGGCCGAUGCA
RNAcentral lists this transfer RNA (71 nucleotides) under Penaeus japonicus. Its description in RNAcentral is "tRNA-Gly". It matches the Rfam family "tRNA". Rfam says of the family: Transfer RNA (tRNA) molecules are approximately 80 nucleotides in length. Their secondary structure includes four short double-helical elements and three loops (D, anti-codon, and T loops). Further hydrogen bonds mediate the characteristic L-shaped molecular structure. tRNAs have two regions of fundamental functional importance: the anti-codon, which is responsible for specific mRNA codon recognition, and the 3' end, to which the tRNAs corresponding amino acid is attached (by aminoacyl-tRNA synthetases). tRNAs cope with the degeneracy of the genetic code in two manners: having more than one tRNA (with a specific anti-codon) for a particular amino acid; and 'wobble' base-pairing, i.e. permitting non-standard base-pairing at the 3rd anti-codon position. The record is from RNAcentral. Lineage: Eukaryota; Metazoa; Arthropoda; Malacostraca; Decapoda; Penaeidae.